This 72-nucleotide transfer RNA is filed under the name Caudoviricetes sp. Its description in RNAcentral is "tRNA-Glu". It matches the Rfam family "tRNA". From Rfam's summary of the family: Transfer RNA (tRNA) molecules are approximately 80 nucleotides in length. Their secondary structure includes four short double-helical elements and three loops (D, anti-codon, and T loops). The record is from RNAcentral. Lineage: Duplodnaviria; Heunggongvirae; Uroviricota; Caudoviricetes.
GGCCGUUUCGUUUAUCGGUUAGGACGCAAGAUUUUCAUUCUUGAAAGGAAGGUUCGAUUCCUUCAUCGGCUA